UACGUAGGGCGCAAGCGUUGUCCGGAAUUAUUGGGCGUAAAGAGCUCGUAGGUGGCGUGUCGCGUCUGCCGUGAAAGCCCAUGGCUUAACUGUGGGUCUGCGGUGGAUACGGGCAGGCUGGAGGCUGGUAGGGGCAAGCGGAAUUCCUGGUGUAGCGGUGAAAUGCGCAGAUAUCGAGAGGAACACCUGCGGCGAAGGCGGGUUGCUGGGCUGACACUGACGCUGAGGCGCGAAAGCGUGGGGAGCAAACAGG
RNAcentral lists this ribosomal RNA (253 nucleotides) under uncultured bacterium. RNAcentral describes it as "partial 16S ribosomal RNA". It matches the Rfam family "Bacterial small subunit ribosomal RNA", at positions 524 to 776 of the family's 1533-position model. The record is from RNAcentral.